GGGAAUUGAUCGUCUCUUUUGUAUAAUACUGUCCGAACAGGCCUCCCCCUAACCCCAAAACCUAUUUCAGUCCCUCAUCUCUCUUAAAGAGACUAAACCCUAGCCGCCCUCUCCCUUCCCCGCCGACUCCGCGUCGCUCCGCCGCCCCAAAAUCACCCUCCGAUGAUAGAGUAUCCCUAGAUUGCUCCAAAUUCACACCCCGUAAUCCAGAGCCCCUCCCAAACACUAUCCCACUAUCCAUUUUCCCAAAAGCACCACCCAAAUCUUACAAUUUCAGAUAUAAAAAUCAAACCCAAGGCCUAGUUCACCCAAACACCUCCAUACUCACACCCUACAACCCUUUCUCCUCCUCACUACAAAUCACCAAACAUUUCCCGUCAAAGCCACAUACAACUCCUUGAAUCUUGGAUAUAAGAAUCCCAAGAACAAAUGGUCAUUGGGUCCUUCUUCAUCAUUUCUUUCUAUUAGUUUUGAGAUUCACCCCAAAUGUUUGUUCUUGACAAGAACAAUCAUUUGGGGUCAAUUUUAAGCUGUAUCGAAGCCGAACACGGGGUCUGUUCUAUUCUUUCUAUAUCUCAUUAGGUAUUACCCUUUUCCUUAUUUUUCUGUUCUUAUUUUAUUUUAUUUGUGUUCUGGUCCACGCCCGUGAAAACAAAAGAAAAUAAAAAAAAAAUAUGUUGCUAGGGUUUUAUUCAUCUAUGUCUUCUCUUGUUUUUGUUAAUUAAGCAGUAACAUUAAUUAAAUCGUAAUUUUUAGGGUAGAUUCCUUAUGUUGCUUUUCUUUUCCUGCUUUUGUUCUUCGUGUUCAUUUCUGUUUUGGUGUUUAGUUUCAUGCUUUAGGUUAUUUAUUUUAUUUUAUGUUAUUGUUAUCUAUUUGAUUUGAAUGCUCCACACGAGUUCAUCCUCAUUAUUCGUCUCUUAAAUUCAAUCUGGUUUAUAUAAUAUUUUGUUGUGGUUUGAGUAGUUUUCAUAGCCGUUUAAAUUAGAAUUCUAGUUGUUUAAAUAAGAGAUUCAUCACGAAAUCAGUUCAUUUUAAGUUUUUUUUAGUGUUCAAAUGUUCAAAAUUCAAUCACAUUGUCUAGUUUUAUAUGAUUUACAUUGCAUGCCCGUUUGUGUUUACCCUAAUUUAUAAAUCAGUGAAAAUUUCUAGGGGUCUUGAACAAAAGAAAAACUGAAAUAGGAUAAGACCAUGAAUAGAAGGUUCUAGAAUAUGGGCAGCCAGCCCUAUUUGACUAGUACAAAAUAUUGAAACCAUUUAGGGAUAACCAGCUAUCCAAUUAUGUUAAAAUAUGCCUUUUGUGGCUGAAAGUAACAAUUCCUUUAUUCUUUCAGCACACGACAUUUUUUGUUCGCACCUUGAAAAGAAUGGACCUUGGGCCUAACUCAACCCCAAAAGCUAGCUUAUGAGAUGAGGAUUGCCN
RNAcentral lists this long non-coding RNA (1420 nucleotides) under Nicotiana benthamiana. RNAcentral's name for it is "long non-coding RNA (NBEN_LNC004720)". The record is from RNAcentral. Lineage: Eukaryota; Viridiplantae; Streptophyta; Magnoliopsida; Solanales; Solanaceae.